UACGGGGGGAGCAAGCGUUGUUCGGAUUUACUGGGCGUAAAGGGCGCGUAGGCGGCGUGACAAGUCACUUGUGAAAUCUCCGGGCUUAACCCGGAACGGUCAAGUGAUACUGUCGUGCUAGAGUACAGAAGGGGCAACUGGAAUUCUCGGUGUAGCGGUGAAAUGCGUAGAUAUCGAGAGGAACACCUGCGGCGAAGGCGGGUUGUUGGGCUGAUACUGACGCUGAGGCGCGAAAGCCAGGGGAGCGAACGGG
Molecule: ribosomal RNA, 253 nt
Filed under: uncultured bacterium
Lineage: Bacteria
Description: partial 16S ribosomal RNA
Rfam family: Bacterial small subunit ribosomal RNA
Source: RNAcentral